This is a long non-coding RNA of Arabidopsis lyrata subsp. lyrata, 668 nucleotides long. RefSeq lists it as uncharacterized. The transcript is spliced from 3 exons. NCBI's taxonomy places the organism in Eukaryota, Viridiplantae, Streptophyta, Magnoliopsida, Brassicales, Brassicaceae. The record is from RefSeq and is a predicted model, not a curated record.
AUAGGGAGAAAAACAAACUGAGCCGACAAAAGAAAAAAAAGAAAGGAAAAGGAAAGUGCGAAAGUUGUUUCGAAGGAGUUCAAGAGACUAACCGAUAAUCGAAUCCAUGUGUUGAUUUGGGACUGUAUCAUGAGGUCUUGAUUGAUUUGUCAAUUUCUAUGUGUGUUGAUGUGAGGUUCUAUCUCAGAGGUAAGGAAUUUUUAGUUCUUUUUUUUCAUCAAGUUUUGGGACACGUCAUCUCUGAAUUCUUAUUUUGCAGAUUAAAUUAAGGAAAUAGGUUGGUUAAAGUUUUUGAUCUUUAGAAUCAAUGAUUUUGUUUUUGUUUUUUUUUAGUCUUUUGUUAAGUCUAUGUGAAAAUUCUAUCAAUGAAGAACACAAUCAGCUCUAAAUUUGUGAAUUGUGACUUUGACUUUGGCUUUUGCAAGCAAAUGAUGUGUUCAGCAUCAGUCUCUUGGAUUGGUGAGAAUCCAAAAAAAAGUUUGGUUUAAUUUAUUUCGUGACUAUGGAAAGAAGCAAAGGUCCUUACAUAACUAUCACCAUCGUCGAUAAGGUUUCGGUGAUAAAAGUUGUUGAACCGGAUAUGCGGGUCUGCAGUCAAUGCUCCUAAAAUUCAGAAGAUCCGAGUACUCCCCAAAUCGGGUCAUAGAUCCGCGUCCUUUUUUUUUUUU